Ochotona princeps (American pika) is the source of this 136-nucleotide ribosomal RNA. Lineage: Eukaryota; Metazoa; Chordata; Mammalia; Lagomorpha; Ochotonidae. The record is from Ensembl.
GUCUACGGCCAUACCACCCUGAAUGCACCCGAUCUCAUCUGAUCUCAGAAGCUAAGCAGGGUUGGGCCUGCUUAGUACUCGGAUGAGAGACCAUCAAUCCAACUCCAAAAUUAGGAGGCCACGGGGACUGUGAAGC